This is a long non-coding RNA of Carassius gibelio (silver crucian carp), 918 nucleotides long. RefSeq lists it as uncharacterized. The record is from RefSeq and is a predicted model, not a curated record. The transcript has 6 exons. Lineage: Eukaryota; Metazoa; Chordata; Actinopteri; Cypriniformes; Cyprinidae.
GCCGUUUGUGCGAACAACUAACGUUACAAGUGAAAGCCGCGCUGCAAAACUGCCUCAACCUUGCGAUGUUCCUGUGCGGAAAAACUGCGAGCUGAGCUGACGGUGUUUUCAAAAUAAAGAGCGGACGAUAAACACAAUGUGACGUCAUCACAAGAAUGUUGGAGUCACAUAAUUACUCUCCCUCGCCCGAAAAGAUCCAAGACGAUGGUGCAAAUCUAGAAUUUAAUCCUUAUUUUUGGAACAAGAUUGCAAAUGUCUUAUAUCCAGAGUCACCAGCAGGUGUCGGCUUCUCCUACUCUGAUGACAAGAAGUACACUACCAAUGACACAGAGCUUGAGGAAUGACCUGCAGAAAUUUUGCUGCAAAGAUGGAGUGUGUAACUUCUACUAUAACCAGGAUGUGAACUGCUUGUGUUGUCUCACUACAGUUCAAGUUAUAGUCUACCAGUCUGGACUGAACAUGUUUAACCUAUAAGGAGUUCAGCAGAGAGUCAGGUGAGCUUGGAUCAGUUAUGUGGAGUAACUGUUCAAUGUCAGUUCAUAUGAAGACGUUCCAGUGUCAUUCUGCUCUUCUGAAACCAACAUUGAAAACGGCCAGUUUGUGAUUCGAGACCUGGGCCAUCACUUCGUGAACCAUCCUUACUCCAAAGCACAGAACAAGGUAGAGAAACCAAUUCAUGUGCUGCUUUGGACUGCAAACUUCACUCGGAACGAAAACCAAAAUUUUCACUCUCUCAUUACUGACUUCAGUUUGUUGUCUCAAAACUGUAAACACAAGAUUAUGUUUUAGCUAUUUUGAUGCUCAUUUCCACACGAUGAAAGUUAUACUUUUGAUUUUAAUACAUUGAAUAUAUAUCACCAUUCAUGGCAGCGCUUUCAUUUUAUUUGCAUAUUCAAAUUCUGCCUUGUUUCACCCUCU